This 407-nucleotide ribosomal RNA is filed under the name uncultured prokaryote. Its description in RNAcentral is "bacterial SSU rRNA". It matches the Rfam family "Bacterial small subunit ribosomal RNA", at positions 355 to 776 of the family's 1533-position model. The record is from RNAcentral. RNAcentral also lists the same sequence under 1 other name.
UGGGGAAUAUUGGGCAAUGGGGGCAACCCUGACCCAGCAACGCCGCGUGAAGGAAGAAGGCUUUCGGGUUGUAAACUUCUUUGACGAGGGACGAAAUAAAUGACGGUACCUCGAAAACAAGCCACGGCUAACUACGUGCCAGCAGCCGCGGUAAUACGUAGGUGGCAAGCGUUGUCCGGAUUUACUGGGUGUAAAGGGCGCGUAGGCGGGAGAGCAAGUCAGAUGUGAAAUGUGGGGGCUUAACCCUCAAGCUGCAUUUGAAACUGUUUUUCUUGAGUAUCGGAGAGGCAGGCGGAAUUCCUAGUGUAGCGGUGAAAUGCGUAGAUAUUAGGAGGAACACCAGUGGCGAAGGCGGCCUGCUGGACGACAACUGACGCUGAGGCGCGAAAGCGUGGGGAGCAAACAGG